This is a non-coding RNA of Camellia sinensis, 2138 nucleotides long. Lineage: Eukaryota; Viridiplantae; Streptophyta; Magnoliopsida; Ericales; Theaceae. The record is from RefSeq and is a predicted model, not a curated record.
CCCUCUCUUUCGUUUUUCUUGCCUUUUUGGCUCAAUAAUACUUUGGAAGCUUAGUCUUUCCAUUUCUCCCUGCAUGUGAGGUCCUUUUCCCCUUCUUGGUGGAACUCUACUCUUCAUCCUCACUCUUCUCAAACUUUCCCAACCAGGGCCUCACCGGAUCUGCCGAUCUCGUCCUCCGUCCGCACUGCCUCCACCCUACCAGAUCUGCCGGAUCGUCCGUCUCCUAAGUGGGUUGGGCAUCAGAUCUACUCCUCCUACCACCUCUCCACCACCGGUUUGCCAUGGAUCCUGAUUUGGAGGAAAGUGGAUUGUGCAAGCCACGUCCGUAGACGUGAACGUCACCUUGAUCGCGGAUUCCGAUGGAUUUUGAGAAUGUUGCUUGUUUGGAUGUGGAUAUGGCCAAUACUGUCGUCAAGGUUGGAGGUUGUAUUUUGUUUGCUUCUGCUGAUUUGGACUCCAAGUGGUUGAGGGAAUGAGGUUAUUGUAUCAUUCAACAUAUUACGUUUUUGGAGGCUUUUGGGAAAGCAGAUUGUGCAGGCUACGUCUGUGGGUGUGAAUGUCAUCUUGAUCGCAGAUUCCGAUGGAUUUUGAAAAUGUUGCUUGUUUGGAUGAGGAUAUAGCCAAUACUGUUGUCAAGAUUGGAGGUUAUGUUUGGUUUGCUUCUGCUGAUUUGGACUCUAAGUGGUUGAGGGAAGGAGCGACGUGAUUGAAGGUUGGAAUGAUAGCCCAUCAACCAUGUUCCCGACAUAUAGAAGUCUCAUUGCCUCUGGCCUUCGUAUACUUAUUUACAGCGGUGAUGUGGAUGCAGUUGUUCCAGUGACUAGCACUCAAUAUUCCAUUGAUGUGUUAAAAACCUUGGCAUCCUUGGACCGAUGAUGGAGAAUUUCAAGCAGCGGGAUAUAAAGUGGUAUAUGAUGAAUUGACUUUCGCAACAGUUCUAGGCGCUGGUCAUCAAGUUCCAAUAAUUCAGCCGUGCAGAGUUUUGGCCUUAUUUAAGAUGUUUUUAGCAGGAAAUUAAAGUUGGAAUGCACGUGAAUUUGACUGUUAACUACUACUAUUAUUCGUGUUAAGUAAGAUUAAGUUGCUUCGAAUCAAGUUAAAUAUAUGUCAAUCUAUUUUAUUGAUGGCUAAUUUGAGAUUAUCAGUUUGAAAAGGGUGAGUCUUUACUAGCAGAGACACCAUCGAAGAAAAAGUUCAAUUUCUAAAAUAUUGUUGUAUCUUCCAUGGAAGCACAUCAAUCGACUUCGCUCUUCGUUGUGCUAUGGAUCUCAGCUGAGUGGAUUACCAUGUUGGUGACAAGAUUGAAUGAGUUUGGUGCUAAAAAUUCAGUAGACUCUGAUAUAUUUUUGAUGUUGAAGAACAUUUAAUGAUUAAACCUCACCAAAAAGCAGGCCUGUUAGUUAACCUUUCGUUGUCCAACUCUUCACCCCUCUUGUUAUUGUCUUCAUUUUGGCACGAUAUGGGGACGGAGAGAGAGAAUUUUAAAAAUAAAUCUUGUGAUUUGUGAAUCUUGGUAAAAACCCAAAAUGAAAAAACACAAGAAAAACAUGUUUCAGCAAACAAAAAUCAUUGUAAGAUGUGCAAAGCAUAGAUAAUGUCAAUGGGGUUGAAAGUCCAACAAGAAAACUUCCAAAAUGUGUCACAGAAGUUUGUAUAAAAGGCAUGAUAAUUGGAUCGAUCAAACAACAUUUGGUUCUGUUUUGCAUCAAUGAAGAAAGUCGCAAUCCUACUACCGCUUUUUCAUUCAUGCCUUGUUGCUUUAGUCCAUUGUUAUGGAGGAAUUGGAUUUGACCCCCUUGAGAAAAUUUUAGAAAAACAAUCUUCGAAACAGCAGGAAGUCAAUUAUGUCACUGAGAGCACGGCCACAGAGUAUUCACCGGUGUAUGUAGACCCUCAAGAUGGACUGAAAGCUGCUGACAAGAUUGUAUCUUUGCCGGGGCAGCCUAAUGGAAUUAACUUUGAUCAGUACUCUGGCUAUGUUAGGGUUGAUCCCAACGCUGGCAGAGCACUUUCUACUAUUUUGCCGAGUCUCAGAAUUCUUCUAGCAAGCCUCUUGUGCUGUGGUUAAAUGGAGGACCUGGCUGCUCUUCGUUUGGCAAAGGAGCAAAGAUGGAGCUCGGACCAUUUCGAGUCAACAG